AUUGAACGCUGGCGGAAUGCUUUACACAUGCAAGUCGAACGGUAGAGGGGGCAACCCCUCGAGAGUGGCGAACGGGUGAGUAAUAUAUCGGAACGUGCCCAGUCGUGGGGGAUAACGUAGCGAAAGUUACGCUAAUACCGCAUACGAUCUACGGAUGAAAGCGGGGGACUCGCAAGAGCCUCGCGCGAUUGGAGCGGCCGAUAUCAGAUUAGGUAGUUGGUGGGGUAAAGGCUCACCAAGCCAACGAUCUGUAGCUGGUCUGAGAGGACGACCAGCCACACUGGAACUGAGACACGGUCCAGACUCCUACGGGAGGCAGCAGUGGGGAAUAUUGCACAAUGGGGGAAACCCUGAUGCAGCCAUGCCGCGUGUGUGAAGAAGGCCUUCGGGUUGUAAAGCACUUUCAGCGAGGAGGAAACGGUCUGCCCUAAUACGGUGGGCUAAUGACGGUACCGUAAGAAUAAGCACCGGCUAACUACGUG
RNAcentral lists this ribosomal RNA (482 nucleotides) under uncultured bacterium. Its description in RNAcentral is "bacterial SSU rRNA". It matches the Rfam family "Bacterial small subunit ribosomal RNA", at positions 30 to 507 of the family's 1533-position model. The record is from RNAcentral.